CAUACAAUACAAAGUUGAAGAGCAUAGAGGAUCCAAAAUUCCAAAAAGUUGUGUUAAAUACGGCUAAGGUAAUCUAUUCCUGGGACAAGAAAAUCCUUAGUUUUUCGAAAAAUUCAAAGUUUUGUAUCAGGAAAUUUAUAAAAAUGAUCACAUUAUUGAUAUUCAUGUCAACACCGAAGUGCUGACUACUGGGCUGGUGAUACCCUCGGGGACGAAACGUCCACCAGCAG
Molecule: long non-coding RNA, 230 nt
Filed under: Mytilus galloprovincialis (Mediterranean mussel)
Lineage: Eukaryota; Metazoa; Mollusca; Bivalvia; Mytilida; Mytilidae
Source: RNAcentral